Small nuclear RNA from Suncus etruscus (white-toothed pygmy shrew), 102 nucleotides. NCBI's taxonomy places the organism in Eukaryota, Metazoa, Chordata, Mammalia, Eulipotyphla, Soricidae. The record is from RefSeq and is a predicted model, not a curated record.
GUGCUCGCUUCUGCAGCACAUAAAAUUGGAAUGACACAGAGAAAAUUAGCAUGGCCCCUGAGCAAGGAUGACAUGCAAAUUCAUAAAGUGUUCAUGUUUUUU